AAGGGUGUGGCUCAAGUGGUAGAGCGCAUGCUUAGCAUGCGUGAGGCCCUGGGUUCAAUACCCAGUACCUCUC
RNAcentral lists this transfer RNA (73 nucleotides) under Camelus bactrianus (Bactrian camel). It matches the Rfam family "tRNA". From Rfam's summary of the family: Transfer RNA (tRNA) molecules are approximately 80 nucleotides in length. Their secondary structure includes four short double-helical elements and three loops (D, anti-codon, and T loops). Lineage: Eukaryota; Metazoa; Chordata; Mammalia; Artiodactyla; Camelidae. RNAcentral also lists the same sequence under 1 other name. The record is from Rfam by way of RNAcentral.